RNAcentral lists this ribosomal RNA (253 nucleotides) under uncultured bacterium. Its description in RNAcentral is "partial 16S ribosomal RNA". It matches the Rfam family "Bacterial small subunit ribosomal RNA", at positions 524 to 776 of the family's 1533-position model. The record is from RNAcentral.
UACAGAGGGUGCAAGCGUUAAUCGGAAUUACUGGGCGUAAAGGGUUUGUAGGUGGCCUGCUAAGUCAGACGUGAAAUCCCUCAGCUUAACUGGGGAACUGCGUCUGAUACUGGCGGGCUUGAGGACAGGAGAGGAACGCGGAAUUCCAGGUGUAGCGGUGAAAUGCGUAGAUAUCUGGAGGAACACCGGUGGCGAAGGCGGCGUUCUGGACUGUUUCUGACACUGAAAAACGAAAGCCAGGGGAGCAAACGGG